AUGCUUUCUGACGUGAGUUAACCCAAAAACACAAAACUCACCUCUUUCAUUUCUUCAUUCUUAACUUAAUUGAGGAGUUUUGUUUCUUCAUUUCUUAAUUUAUUUCAUCUUUCUUCAAAUCUCUAUUCCUAUCAAUCACAGCUUCAAAGUUUUUCCCCUCUUUUUAUUCUAGCUUAGCAUUUCUUCAACGUCAUCUUAACUUCUCCGAUCGAUGGAGGAUCGAUAAACCCUAGGAAAACCUAGGUAUCUUAUGGUUCGAUUUAAGUCAAAUCAAACCUGCAAGUGUAUAUGUGAUCAUUUUUAUUUCGAUUUCUCUUGCGUCACGAGGUAGCACCCGUUAGCAAAAAAGGAAACAAGUACAUAGCAGAAGCAGAAAAGAAAUAUGGCCCCUCCAAAAGUUCUAAUGGUUGCAGAGAAGCCUAGCAUUUCUCUUUCUAUUGCCUCUGUUCUCUCCCACGGCCAGGUGCUUCACUUCCUCUUCUCCUACUUUCUCCUUUCUCAUUUCAUAUUCAAACCUUCUAACUUGAAAAUUUUCUAUUUCCUCUGUUUAAUGUUUCAUCUUCGUGAAAAAAUGGGGGAAACAACAGACUCAAGCAUUUUGUUAGGAAUUUAGUUUGAUAUUUUUGAUUUCGUGUCUUAAAAAAAAAAUUGGAAAUAAAACUGUGAGCCAAAAAAUGCAAUGAAGCUGUCCAAUUGUUGUGUGGUAUUUCUUUUCUUUAUUAUUAUUUAACUUUUUGAUUUAGAAUGUUACGAUUUUUUGCAUAAUAUUUUUUAUGUAUCACUAUCUGUGACUUUUUGAAGCACAUUUAUGUGUACGAUGUUUACAAGAAAGGGAAGCACAGAAGUUCAUGUAUGUCAAGUAGGCCUAAUACCCCAAAGACCACUAGAUCAACAACUCCAAACUCAAGCAGCAGACUAACAACACCAAGUCCUUCUAAUGCAAGAUUAAGGUAUCCUUCGGAGUCACUGAAAGGGGCAACAACAAAGAUAUAGAACAACACCCCAGUAAAAGUAAACGUCUCUUGAAGGCCUUACUUAGCAGGCGCAAGUCUAAGAAAGUUUGACCUUGAAGCAGAGGAGUAUGUUUCACUUCCUAAGGGAGAGGUUCACAAAAAAAGGAGAUUGUUCAGUUUUUCUCCUGUGUCCAAAGAUAAUGCUCAAGCUUGGGUACUUUCUCCUUGGUUGGCGUGUGUGUAAAAAAAUCGUAAAUCGUAUUUUUUUACAGGUGUUUGUGGCAGCCUUCAAAAAAAGACAACUUCGAAUUCCAGAGAAUACAAACGAACUACAUGAGAUUCGUGAAAAAGAAAGAAGGGACAAUUAUGAAGUUCUUAAAAGGACAGAACAAUUCAGGUCACAAAAUAUAUACAUAUAAAAAAAAUAUUCUAAUCCUCUAAACUGUAAUGUCACAUGACCAAUAAUCAUUGAUUAGAAGUACUGUUUAUCUCUUGCUCAUUUGGUUUUCUUGAAAAAAUGGAUUCCCAGAUUCUUGGACUGGGCAACAAUUUCCAGAAGCAGUAUUUGGGCUUUGCCAUGUAUUAUGGAGUCUUUGUACUUGUGAAGUUGUGAUAGAUAUUGCUUGCUCAGAAUGAUCCCUUUUAAAACACAGAUAAUUAUUCAACAAUCCUUU
Long non-coding RNA from Gastrolobium bilobum, 1627 nucleotides. RefSeq lists it as uncharacterized. NCBI's taxonomy places the organism in Eukaryota, Viridiplantae, Streptophyta, Magnoliopsida, Fabales, Fabaceae. The transcript has 7 exons. The record is from RefSeq and is a predicted model, not a curated record.